Molecule: non-coding RNA, 145 nt
Filed under: Tepidibacillus decaturensis
Lineage: Bacteria; Bacillati; Bacillota; Bacilli; Caryophanales; Bacillaceae
Also listed under: 1 other name
Description: FMN riboswitch aptamer (RFN element)
Rfam family: FMN riboswitch aptamer (RFN element)
About the family: The RFN element is a highly conserved domain that is found frequently in the 5'-untranslated regions of prokaryotic mRNAs that encode for flavin mononucleotide (FMN) biosynthesis and transport proteins.
Source: Rfam by way of RNAcentral
UAAAUCCUUCGGGGUCGGGUGAAAUUCCCAACCGGCGGUAAUCAGGGAUAACCUGUAGUCCGCGACCCAAUACGUCUUUUGAUGUGUUGGCUGAUUCGGUGAGAUUCCGAAACCGACAGUAAAGUCUGGAUGGGAGAAGGAUAUG